UUCAAGCAGAAAUGACCUCGAUGUGCAUGGCCUGCAGUUCACUGUUCUGUCUGCUGUGAAGGUAUACCACAAGGUUCUCUGUGUUUUGACUGCCUCAUCACCUUUAACUCCUUCACUUAGUUAAUCUUAACGUGGUCCAAGGUACAUCGACACAUGGGUCCAGAGCUUUCUUGAGUCUUUCGAAAGUAAACUCCUUAAGAUGAGUGAGGUUGACUUCAAGAGCCAUUUAAACACACUAAUUGAAUCAAAGAUGGAGAAGGACAAGAAUUUGUGGGAAGAAUCUGAGUGUCACUGGGAAGAGAUAACUAAUAGACUUUCCUAUUUGAUCGAAUAGAAACUGAGGUCGCAACAUUAAGGAAGCUGGCAAAACAAGAAUUGAUAGCUUUCUUCAACAAGCACAUACGAAUUGGAGCGCAGGAAGGUGCUUAGUGUACGAGUUUAUGGGAGCAAGCAUACAUCAAAUUUUGAAGUGGAUAACAAUGAAGCAAUUGGACCAAACACAAUACGAAUAAAUAACAUUUUCAGCUUUAGGGCAUUGCAACCUCUUUACGAUUCACACAGAAGAGGGUAUGAACAUAUGGAAGUUCACAGCAGUUCUAAAUAAGCUUGAAAUGAGGAUCUUGGAUAAUGUACUCCUGAAACAUUUCUCCAAAAUCUAUACUACCACGCCACACUUGCCCUGUGGCAUUUGUA
This is a long non-coding RNA of Eucalyptus grandis, 693 nucleotides long. RefSeq lists it as uncharacterized. The transcript is spliced from 3 exons. The record is from RefSeq and is a predicted model, not a curated record. NCBI's taxonomy places the organism in Eukaryota, Viridiplantae, Streptophyta, Magnoliopsida, Myrtales, Myrtaceae.